RNAcentral lists this ribosomal RNA (253 nucleotides) under uncultured bacterium. Its description in RNAcentral is "partial 16S ribosomal RNA". It matches the Rfam family "Bacterial small subunit ribosomal RNA", at positions 524 to 776 of the family's 1533-position model. The record is from RNAcentral.
UACGGAGGGUGCGAGCGUUGUCCGGAAUCAUUGGGCGUAAAGGGCGCGUAGGUGGCUUCUUAAGCGUGCGGUGAAAGCCUGGGGCUCAACCCCGGGUCGGCCGUGCGAACUGGGGGGCUGGAGCACUGUAGAGGCAGGCGGAAUUCCGGGUGUAGCGGUGGAAUGCGUAGAGAUCCGGAAGAACACCGGUGGCGAAGGCGGCCUGCUGGGCAGUUGCUGACACUGAGGUGCGAAAGCGUGGGGAGCAAACAGG